Molecule: non-coding RNA, 175 nt
Organism: Streptococcus sp. HSISB1
Lineage: Bacteria; Bacillati; Bacillota; Bacilli; Lactobacillales; Streptococcaceae
Source: Rfam
GAAUGUCUUCAGGGCAGGGUGUAAUUCCCGACCGGCGGUGUUGCCUCUCGUCCUCUUACAAAAAAGCUUAGUUUGGUAAGAGAACGAGAGCAAUUUAAAAGUCCGCGAGCUGCUUUGCAGUUGAUCUGGUGAGAUUCCAGAACCGACAGUAUAGUCUGGAUGGGAGAAGACCAAG